This 196-nucleotide unclassified non-coding RNA is filed under the name rhizosphere metagenome. RNAcentral describes it as "partial ribosomal RNA internal transcribed spacer region". The record is from RNAcentral.
GAAGUACAGGCCCUCUCGUAGGGCUAAACUUCCACCCUUUGUUAACCACACUUUGUUGCUUUGGCGAGACGCCCUCGGGCCACCGGCUUCGGCUGGUGAGCGCUCGCCAGAGAAAACCCAAACCCAAACCAUUUAAGUUGUCGUCUGAAAAACAAGUUUAAUAAUUAAAACUUUCAACAACGGAUCUCUUGGCUCU